Molecule: long non-coding RNA, 649 nt
Organism: Salmo salar (Atlantic salmon)
Lineage: Eukaryota; Metazoa; Chordata; Actinopteri; Salmoniformes; Salmonidae
Source: RefSeq, a predicted model, not a curated record
CGCAGACUUUAUUUAGGUAUUGGAUCCUCGAAUGGACUUCUAUGCCAUGUAACUAGCGUAGCCAUGUAACUAGCGUAGCCAUGUAACUAGCGUAGCCAUGUAACUAGAGUAGCCAUGUAACUAGCGUAACCAAGUAACUAGCGUAGCCAUGUAACUAGCGUAACCAUGUAACUAGCGUAGCCAUGUAACUAGCGUAACCAUGUAACUAGAACUAGCUGUAGUCAGUAAACAUCUUCAGGUGCAGUAAUACUGCACAUCAGAGCAUUCAACUGUUUUCAGACAAAGAAACCAGAAAAAUCUGAGUUUCUACAAUGGACCAUGAGGACAAACCCAGCCUGCUGCUCUCCUUCCACACUGAGCCCAAACCUACAGAUUUAUCAAACUCUUAAUCGGUCUCUGCUGAGCAGCCCAGUAGCACCAACUCUAGUGAGCUGUCUAAGCCAGUCGUGCCUGUUCCAAGCCUACUCAAACGGCCUGAUUGCAGCCAAGCUCUUGCCUCGGGGAAACCUGGGCACAGGAAAAGACCCUGUGCAUCCACUGGUCAGUAUACACUACAACUUACUACAAUAGUCAUUCAUGUUUCGUUGGUUAUGCCACACAAGGAAAGACUUGGAAGACAGCACUCUCAUUCAUCACCUCAGGUUAAGCA